RNAcentral lists this long non-coding RNA (601 nucleotides) under Brassica rapa (field mustard). Its description in RNAcentral is "long non-coding RNA (BRAP_LNC008253)". Lineage: Eukaryota; Viridiplantae; Streptophyta; Magnoliopsida; Brassicales; Brassicaceae. The record is from RNAcentral.
AGUCCAAGGGACACGUUCCUAGACUUGGCCGGACAUAACCAAACCGCUAACCUAGACGCUGGUCGGUUAAGACGGUCGGUUCGAAUCGCACCAUAGGCUGGACGGUUGGGCAAAACGGUUAGGCAUGUCCCAAGAGGCACGAGAUGUAGAAACCCGUUAAAAAAAAAAGAAGAAAAAAAGAAGAAAAGAGUGGUCGAGUAUCUUUGUGGUGGUCGAGUCGCGGGCGAUAAGGAUCGAUCGAGAAGUUUUAAAGUACGGAGUGGGUGAAGAAGUGAUCAUGAGUUAACUAUGAGUCGAAUAAGCUGCUCUACCAUUGUUAGAAGUGUCUUAGAUUGAUCAGACGGCAGUUUUGGAAGAAUCACAUUUUUGAAGCACGACGGUUUAGAAGCUCGACGUUUUUGAAGAUUGAUGUUUCUUCAUCGCGAAGUUUUCUUGGAAUAUCUUCAUAUCAGUAAAAUAUUAUUCUGAAGACAUUAUAAGUCGGAAGCAGGACGGGAAUUAAGCAGGACGGGAAGCAAGCACGACGAGAUUGAAGCACGACGGGAAAACCCGAAGUUGGGCGAAAACCCUAAUUUCGGUAUUACGAAAUUCUUCGAGGAGG